AUGCCCCCUUCAGCACCACAUAUACUAAGUAUGGAAUGAAAAGAGAAGAUUAGCAUGGCCCCUGUGCAAAGAUGACAUGCAAAUUUGUUGGGGGGGGGAUUAAAAUUAAU
Small nuclear RNA from Hippopotamus amphibius kiboko, 110 nucleotides. Lineage: Eukaryota; Metazoa; Chordata; Mammalia; Artiodactyla; Hippopotamidae. The record is from RefSeq and is a predicted model, not a curated record.